CCCCUAGAUGUUCUGGGCCGCACGCGCGCUACACUGAACAGUUCAACAAGUCUUAACCUUGGCCGAUAGGUCUGGGUAAUCUUUGAACGCUGUUCGUGAUUGGGAUAGACCUUUGCAAUUAUGGGUCUUCAACGAGGAAUUCCUAGUAAACGCAAGUCAUCAGCUUGCAUUGAUUACGUCCCUGCCCUUUGUACACACCGCCCGUCGCUCCUACCGAUUGAGUGUGUUGGUGAGGAGUUUGGAUUGGCCUCGGAAGGUGGUUCGCCACCGUCCGUAGCUGAGAAGUUCUCCAAACCGCCCCACUUAGAGGAAGGAGAAGUCGUAACA
This 327-nucleotide ribosomal RNA is filed under the name uncultured eukaryote. RNAcentral's name for it is "partial 18S ribosomal RNA". It matches the Rfam family "Eukaryotic small subunit ribosomal RNA", at positions 1470 to 1796 of the family's 1831-position model. The record is from RNAcentral.